GAUGAACGCUGGCGGCGUGCCUAAUACAUGCAAGUCGAGCGAACAGAUGAGGAGCUUGCUCCUCUGACGUUAGCGGCGGACGGGUGAGUAACACGUGGAUAACCUACCUAUAAGACUGGGAUCACUUCGGGAAACCGGAGCUAAUACCGGAUAAUAUAUUGAACCGCAUGGUUCAAUAGUGAAAGACGGUUUUGCUGUCACUUAUAGAUGGAUCCGCGCCGCAUUAGCUAGUUGGUAAGGUAACGGCUUACCAAGGCAACGAUGCGUAGCCGACCUGAGAGGGUGAUCGGCCACACUGGAACUGAGACACGGUCCAGACUCCUACGGGAGGCAGCAGUAGGGAAUCUUCCGCAAUGGGCGAAAGCCUGACGGAGCAACGCCGCGUGUGUGAUGAAGGUCUUCGGAUCGUAAAACUCUGUUAUUAGGGAAGAACAAAUGUGUAAGUAACUAUGCACGUCUUGACGGUACCUAAUCAGAAAGCCACGGCUAACUACGUG
RNAcentral lists this ribosomal RNA (497 nucleotides) under uncultured bacterium. RNAcentral's name for it is "partial 16S ribosomal RNA". It matches the Rfam family "Bacterial small subunit ribosomal RNA", at positions 28 to 507 of the family's 1533-position model. The record is from RNAcentral.